UAAUAUCUAAGAUGUCCAAACCGCGCACCCAAACAAAUUUAAGUUGCAGCAUGACCUUUGGCAUUGUAUCGAAGAUUUGAUAUUAUAUACACACACACACACAAACAUAUAUAUAUAAUAACAAACAUCGGAGUAGGAAGUAGUCAAAAGAAACAAACAUGUCUGGGUUGGAAACACCAUCUUCUUCCUGGUUGUAUUUCCCUUAAACACUUUUACUUAGCGAGUACACGCUUAUAGAAUAAAGUGACAAAAACAAUAUACCUGCCCAACCAGUUGAAUUUUUUUUUAAAAUUAUUACAGGAAUCUAAAAGAGGGUAUCCAUCUUUUCAAGGCAUAGGACCUUAUACGCUUGCCACGGGUAAAAUUACAGCCAAAAAUAAAUUGUCACGCCUAAUGGAACUGAGCGUCUUUGGUUUCGUUAUGCAGUGCAUGGAGGAGAUUUGACGAGACGGACAAACACCAAGUCACGAGCCGGAUAUUGCCCUAGGGUCGCAGUUUGAACAUCACUUCUCUAAGGUAAAAGAAAGUUCAAAAUUUCAACUUGAUCCGAGAUUGGGUGUAGGAGAAAUAACGUGUACCAACGUUUGACCAGACAGACAGAGUGAGUUGAUAGAAGCUUUGUAGGGUAGGGGUGAGGUUCUUAACGCAAUCGCAUUUACAUCAGCUGAUAAGUUGAUUCUCUUUAUUUCUGGUAAGGCGUAGUGUGAAUAUUAAGUGAAUGAUUUGUUAAUAAUUAGCGUAAAUACACUACUUACUCUUUGUUGAUAAUUUUAUCCUGUUCUUUGGCUGGCGCCGGGUCUACACCGGCUAAAGUACAGGAGGAGAAGGUGGUACUGAUUUCACUCUACCUCUCAUGGCCCUCACUGACAUCAGACACAAAAAAGAGAGAACAGUGAAUGCUAUCAAAGUAUGUCGAGAGGGGGCGCGGUGGUGCGGGCAAAACACGGCAUUGAAUGGGGCAUAGAUAACUAGAAACGAAUUUUGGGCAGGUUUAAAUUCUACAGCUAAACUUUUGUGUUAACAUUACGUUUUUGUAGGCCAAAGUACGAUCUUGUAUACUCUUAAUACGAAGUAGAAUUCAGUUGAUCAACAAGGAAAUUGAGCAAACCUUUAAAUACCUUGGUACUAUCCUAGACAAUAAACUAAAUUUUACUGCAAAUACUGAUUAUAUCAGCAAAAAAGGGCAGCAAAGAUUACGAUUACUAAGAAAACUGUCCUCGUUUAAUGUUAGCGAAAAGGCCAUGGCUAUGUUUUAUCACGCUCACAUCUGCAAUAUUUUAAGUUUCAAUAUCACUGCCUGGUAUGGCAAUCUGAGCAUUAAAAAUAGGAAUAAACUUUAUAGAAUCCUAAUUGCUGCUGGCAAAAUCAUUGGCAAAAAACAAACCCCAUUUGGGCAGUUGUUUGAGACAAACAUCUAUAAAAAAGCUAACAAGAUCCUCGAAAUAAAGAAUCACCCUUUGUGUCAGGAUUUUGUGAUUUUACCAUCACAAAAGAGAUACAAGACACCGAUAGCAAAGACAAACAGACACAAACACUCUUUUGUUCCCCUGGCAAUCAAAUCAUUAAAUAACAACAAUCUGGUAUAAACUUUGUCACAUGUAAAUUAUGAGUGAGUCUGGUGUGAAUGUACACUUUGGUUUCUUAUAGUUAUAAUGUUUUUUGUUUGGUGUAAUGCACAAAUUGUAAGACUAAUUUCCUUACGGAUAAUAAAGAUUAUUAUUAUUA
Long non-coding RNA from Biomphalaria glabrata, 1725 nucleotides. RefSeq lists it as uncharacterized. The transcript is spliced from 2 exons. NCBI's taxonomy places the organism in Eukaryota, Metazoa, Mollusca, Gastropoda, Planorbidae. The record is from RefSeq and is a predicted model, not a curated record.